AUGAACACAGCGACGAUGAUGGCGAUGAACACAGCGACUGUGGUGGCGAUGAACACAACGACUGGCGAGGUUGUGGUGAGCGACGGUGGUUUGGAGAGAAAUGACGGUGAGCGACGGUGACCGUUAUGGUGAACGACGAUGGUUUCGUUUUUGGAGAGAAAUGACUUUGGUUUUUGGAGAGAAAUGAGGUUGUGUUUUUGGAGAGAAACAAAAUGGG
This 217-nucleotide long non-coding RNA is filed under the name Medicago truncatula (barrel medic). Its description in RNAcentral is "lncRNA gene22134". Lineage: Eukaryota; Viridiplantae; Streptophyta; Magnoliopsida; Fabales; Fabaceae. The record is from RNAcentral.